ACGACGCCAACUGUCUCAGGAAGAAAUCUCAACAAAGAAGUGAAAUUAAAUGCCGACAACUUCUUCUGUGCCUCCCGGAGCUACACCUCGGCUUUAAUAUUUCAUACCUGCUAGCAUAUGUUCCAUAUAUUCUCAUCAAUGACUGACAUCACCAGAAUUGGGUUCAAGGAAAUCAAGGAGACAAGGAAACAACAUAACGAGUUCUUUCCCCUGUGUCUGCCGGAUGAUCACGAGGCUGUAAUCUCACACAACUGGAAGGAAGAACUCAUCUCAGCUCUCACCGAAAGUCUCAAGAGAUACCGCUCAUGGGUCUUCCCAUUAAUUUCUGUGCAGCAUCUUCGCAGACACUCAUUCUUUUCCUUAUUUUUAUUUGCAUAUUAUCGUUCCGAGUCCCGAGGAGCUGGACUCACUGCCGUGCACGGAGAAGAAGGAAAACAGAAGCAUGAAUGAACAACAGUGCAACAGAGGUAACGCUGAUGGAGGAGGAAGUCAGUUUGGGGCCAGGUGAUCGUCUGCCACAGUGUUUGGGAAAUACAUGGGGCUAUGUACGUCACUGCAACAAGAGAACUGGCACAAUGGAGGUGCUUGGAAAAAAAAAUCAUUCCUGUUUCCAUCUGUCACCUUAUGUGUAACGGCACAUUAUAUAUUUCAUACUCUCUCAUGAUUCAGCUCCAAAGGUGUCACAUAUUUGAGAUGCUGUUUGUAUCACACUGUGCAACAGCAUUGUCGACAGUCGAGCCCUGUAGCGCUGGUGGCACAGACAGCGGGUUGGUGAUACAAAGAGUGACUGAAUUUCAUUUUCUCUCUGAAGGUUUCCAUUAGAUUCCAUAAAAAAUAUAUGCAUUCCACAAUCCAUAAUUCAUUACCGAACCUCGCAAGAGGCAACGGCAACACUUGUCAAACAUGAUUAACUAUGUCUGUAUCUUACACACAUUUAAUUCCUCUCAGUGUCUCUGCCUGUAAAUCAGACAACAAUCACCAGCGAGCCCGCUCACAAGAUUUGUGGCUGAUGGUUUUGCCAUGUAUUUGAAUGUCACUGACAAUAAUAAUGAGGGGAGAAAAAACAGUUGUUGGGAUUCAACAACUUUUUCUGAAUGAGUAAAAACUUGGUGUUCUAGUAAACAAAAGAAACUCAGCACAUUGAACAAACAGUUCACUUUCAUUUGACUAAGCAGGGCAAAUGUUCUCAUUGCCAUCUACUGUCUGCAAAAGGCAUGAAAUAAAAAAGAA
This is a long non-coding RNA of Scophthalmus maximus (turbot), 1230 nucleotides long. RefSeq lists it as uncharacterized. The record is from RefSeq and is a predicted model, not a curated record. The transcript is spliced from 4 exons. NCBI's taxonomy places the organism in Eukaryota, Metazoa, Chordata, Actinopteri, Pleuronectiformes, Scophthalmidae.